RNAcentral lists this long non-coding RNA (479 nucleotides) under Setaria italica (foxtail millet). RNAcentral describes it as "long non-coding RNA (SITA_LNC002915)". Lineage: Eukaryota; Viridiplantae; Streptophyta; Magnoliopsida; Poales; Poaceae. The record is from RNAcentral.
AACAGAUCACGAACAAUGCACGGAUCAGUAAGCCGGCCAGCUGCGGGUAGCAAUGCCGGCGGGGAUCUGAAUGAUCUCAUCCUGAUCUAGGGGCACUUGGGCCCUCCUUCCUUGGUCUUCCAGUUGUUGUAGCAGGGGCAGGCGCCCUUGUUGCCGUAGAACCCGGGGGGCACGCAGAGGCAGGUGGCGCAGCACUUGUUGCAGAAGGUGAUGCAGGCCUUGUGGUACUGCGUCUGGGAGCACCGCGACGCGCACUUGGACGAGCACUCCCACGGCUUCAGGUUGCCCCUGCCGUAGCCGUUCCCGUUGCCGCUGCCACCGCCGUUGCCGUUGCCGUUGCCUCUGCCAUUGCCGCCGGCCUCCACCUCCUGCUGGACAAAACAGAAGACAGAGAAUUGAAUGAGCACAUAGCGCACACGGGAAAACGGCUGGAACUUGAAGGCUGAAAGGAUGAGGCCAGUGAGCUUACCACGGGGAAG